This 370-nucleotide ribosomal RNA is filed under the name uncultured bacterium. Its description in RNAcentral is "bacterial SSU rRNA". It matches the Rfam family "Bacterial small subunit ribosomal RNA", at positions 30 to 403 of the family's 1533-position model. The record is from RNAcentral.
AUUGAACGCUGGCGGCAUGCCUAACACAUGCAAGUCGAACGGCAGCACAGUAUGUAGCAAUACAUAUGGGUGGCGAGUGGCGGACGGGUGAGUAACGCGUGGGAAUCUGCCCUAUAGUGGGGGACAACCCGACGAAAAGUCGGGCUAAUACCGCAUACGCCCUACGGGGGAAAGGCUUCGGCCGCUAUUGGAUGAGCCCGCGUCGGAUUAGCUAGUUGGUGAGGUAAUGGCUCACCAAGGCGACGAUCCGUAGCUGGUCUGAGAGGACGAUCAGCCACACUGGGACUGAGACACGGCCCAGACUCCUACGGGAGGCAGCAGUGGGGAAUAUUGCACAAUGGGCGAAAGCCUGAUGCAGCAAUGCCGCGUG